This 245-nucleotide ribosomal RNA is filed under the name uncultured bacterium. RNAcentral's name for it is "partial 16S ribosomal RNA". It matches the Rfam family "Bacterial small subunit ribosomal RNA", at positions 524 to 768 of the family's 1533-position model. The record is from RNAcentral.
UACGUAGGGUGCAAGCGUUAAUCGGAAUUACUGGGCGUAAAGCGUACGCAGGCGGCUGGGUAAGACGGAUGUGAAAUCCCCGGGCUUAACCUGGGAACUGCAUUCGUGACUGCUCAGCUAGAGUCUGUCAGAGGGGGGUGGAAUUCCACGUGUAGCAGUGAAAUGCGUAGAGAUGUGGAGGAACACCGAUGGCGAAGGCAGCCCCCUGGGAUAAGACUGACGCUCAUGUACGAAAGCGUGGGGAG